RNAcentral lists this ribosomal RNA (433 nucleotides) under uncultured bacterium. Its description in RNAcentral is "partial 16S ribosomal RNA". It matches the Rfam family "Bacterial small subunit ribosomal RNA", at positions 29 to 507 of the family's 1533-position model. The record is from RNAcentral.
AACGAACGCUGGCGGCAUGCCUAACACAUGCAAGUCGAACGAGACCUUCGGGUCGAGUGGCGCACGGGUGCGUAACGCGUGGGAACCUGCCCUUAGGUUCGGAAUAACUCCCCGAAAGGGGUGCUAAUACCGGACAAUGUCUUCGGACCAAAGAUUUAUCGCCUUUGGAUGGGCCCGCGUUGGAUUAGCUAGUUGGUAGGGUAAAAGCCUACUAAGGCGACGAUCCAUAGCUGGUCUGAGAGGAUGAUCAGCCACACUGGGACUGAGACACGGCCCAGACUCCUACGGGAGGCAGCAGUGGGGAAUAUUAGACAAUGGGCGAAAGCCUGAUCCAGCAAUGCCGCGUGAGUGAUGAAGGCCUUAGGGUUGUAAAGCUCUUUUACCCGGGAUGAUAAUGACAGUACCGGGAGAAUAAGCCCCGGCUAACUCCGUG